This 1092-nucleotide long non-coding RNA is filed under the name Homo sapiens (human). RNAcentral's name for it is "non-protein coding lnc-ORAOV1-1:3". The record is from RNAcentral. Lineage: Eukaryota; Metazoa; Chordata; Mammalia; Primates; Hominidae.
AGCUCACCAGAGAGGCCAGAGGAGGCGGCAGGAAGGUGGGGUCUCUCCAGCCAGGGGCUUCCUGAAAGAGCUGCCUUCUGAGCAGGCCCCCCAGGCUAGGAAGAUGUGCACCUGCCGAGCUGGGCAGGAGAGGGUGGCCCAGUGGAGGACCCAGCAUGGGCAGAGGUUUGGAGGUGGCAGGUCCUGAGGGAAGCGGAAGGCAGCCAGGUUGUGACAGCCUGUGAGGACCUCUUGGCUCCCGGAGCCUUCUCUCUCCUGGAAUAGAGAUGACACCGUGCUGCCAUUGAACUCAACCCGAAAAAAUGAUCUGUUGCAAAGCUCACAGGAAAUAAUGGAGCAAUGUUACACGAUAAACUGUAAAGUGUGGUGAGCAUGUGAACAAGCGUCCAGGACCCAGCGAAGCCCCAGGCUACUGGGCUAGGCGUCAGAUGAGAAGAGGCAGAGGGCAACCUCCUGUAGGAUCUGAGGCCUUCAUGUGCUCAGCCCAUGGCUGUCGUCACGGUGACGUGUGCAUGCGAUGUAUCUGGGCCAUCCUUGUUCUUGAACGCGGGCAGUGAGUCCCACGGUGAUGUGGCAUGUCACGAGCUGAAGGAGGGGCACCUGCAUUCAGGCUUGCGAACCAGCGAGACAGCCUUUGGACCUUUCGGAGCCUCACUUUCCCACACUAAGAAUUGGAGUGGAAUUCCCAAGGUGCUGGAGGUUGAAAGGCAUUGAGAAUCUAAAACGCUUUGCAGACAGCAAGACCCUCUGUGUAAGUUAAGAAUGCUCACUCAGUCCCAGCAGGUACUCAGAGGGAUCCUUUUAUUUCUCCAGAACAUUCUGCAGGAGAGGGGACCUGUGGAAUGUAGUUGAGUCCUGAGGGUGCGGCCCCGUGAUGAAAUUAGUGGCCUGAUAAGAAGAGGCCCAGAGAACCGGCUCUGUCUCUGCUCUCUGUCGCACGAGGACCCCACAAGAAGACGGCCACCUGCAAACAGCCAUUGAAUCUGCCAGUGACUUGGUCGUGGAGUUCCAGCCUCCAGAACUGUGAGAAAUAAAUGUUUGCGAUUUAAACCGCACAGUCUGUGGUGUUGUGUUGGCAGUCUGAACUGACGG